This is a long non-coding RNA of Acomys russatus (golden spiny mouse), 284 nucleotides long. RefSeq lists it as uncharacterized. NCBI's taxonomy places the organism in Eukaryota, Metazoa, Chordata, Mammalia, Rodentia, Muridae. The transcript has 4 exons. The record is from RefSeq and is a predicted model, not a curated record.
GUCUGUUCUAGGUAGAAAGGAUGGAGGGAUGGACCAGCAAACAGAUCUGUAUCCCCAUCAGAACUGUACACAUUAGUGACAGAGGUCAUGGCAGAGGAUAGAACUGUACACGCUAGUGACAGAGGUCAUGGCAGAGGAUAGAACUGUACACGCUAGUGACAGAGGUCAUGGCAGAGGAUAGAACUGUACACGCUAGUGACAGAGGUCAUGGCAAAGGAUGCUGCCCAUAGUUUACAUAUGGGGACAAGAAGGUCAUCUCGAAACUGGCAGCAGCAUGGCAGGAU